GCCACGGUAGCUCAGUGGUAGAGCAGUGGACUGAAAAUCCACGUGUCGGCGGUUCAAUUCCACCCCGUGGCACCA
RNAcentral lists this transfer RNA (75 nucleotides) under bacterium. Its description in RNAcentral is "tRNA-Phe". It matches the Rfam family "tRNA". Rfam says of the family: Transfer RNA (tRNA) molecules are approximately 80 nucleotides in length. The record is from RNAcentral.